Molecule: RNA transcript, 3807 nt
Organism: Macadamia integrifolia
Lineage: Eukaryota; Viridiplantae; Streptophyta; Magnoliopsida; Proteales; Proteaceae
Gene name: G-type lectin S-receptor-like serine/threonine-protein kinase SD2-5
Exons: 3
Source: RefSeq, a predicted model, not a curated record
CGAGCCGACUCCCAACGGGCUAAGCACGUCAAGGUGGUUGUGAAAGCUGUGAAAGCCCCCUCUCUCUCUCUCUCUCUCCCUCUUUCUAGCAUUAAAUUUGGUUUGACAGUAGGCAACUGGGCAUUGAUUUCCUCUCCUUUCCCUUCUAACAUCCACAAACAAACACGAAAAUCUGGAAACCUUUCAAGUGUCCAGACCCAAGAGAGGUUUGAUAUUCGAUUUCUUCAAUGAGGAUUGUUGAUUCACAUGGAUUCUUGUAUGGCAGUCGUCACUUGUCUUCAACCCUGAAGCAGAUUCGAAGCCUGCCUUUGGACUUGGAUCUUUCGUUCCAGCUAUUAAGGGUGAAACAACAGAUUUGUCCAAUCCUCUUCUUCUUUUGACUUAAAAUCAGCAAAGAGCCAGAACCCACUUCUGCAAAUCCCACUUGUUUCAAUUACUAGAAGAUAGAAAUGAGGUGAGUUACGUUUUUUGUUCGUCUCUGUUGUUGUUCGUUUUGACUAUCUCCAUUUUCUUCGGUCAAUGGCUGGGUAAAACUUCCGUCCUUUGGUGAGAUCUGUACGGUUUCUUAUGCUUGCUUGCUUUCUGUGUGAACAUGAAGAGAAACCAUUAGCUACCACUGACCACUUUCGCAUUUCUAGUCUAAUUGGGCGGUUCUUCUUUGUCUUUAGCUAGUAAUGGGUUUCUACAGUUUUUAAGCAAGGUGGAAGAGGAAUUGAGUACUUUUUAAGACAGUAUAGAAUCUGAUUGCUUAGUCGAAACAAGAAAAUAGAGUUUAUAUUGGAAGUUGCAGAAUGGUUUUCCGAGUAAAGUAUCCUUUUUUAUCCCCUUCAGAUCCUUUCUUCUACUCAUUUUGGUAUUCAAAAUAUCUUCUUUUAAUUGCUUAGCCAGUUCCUGUUAUCGUCUAUUACCUCCAUUUUUUUGGGGCGAGAUUCGCCAGAUUCAGGCUCUCCGUGCAGCUAUGGAAACUCGGGUUCUCUCGAGUUAUGGUGGGCAUAUUUGUUUGCUUAUUUUUGUGUUGUCUGGAACUUCCACGGCCAUUAUUCAGCGUAUUGGUCAGAUUUCUCCAGGGUUUCAAGGGUCUCAGAUGAAUUUUAUUGAUAACAAUGGAAUGUUUCUGCUAUCCAACAACUCGGAAUUUGCUUUUGGCUUCUCCACUACACAAAAUGUCACUUUGUUUCUGUUAGUUGUUCAACACAUCGGUAGUUCAAAGGUAGUCUGGACUGCGAACAGGGGAUCCCCAGUUGGAAGUUCUGAUAAAUUCGUAUUUGCAGACAAUGGGAAUGCUUAUUUGCAAAGCGGAGGGGAUGUAGUUUGGUCUACAGAUACUGGAGGCAAGGGAGUAACAGCCAUGGAGCUGAAAGACUCAGGAAAUUUGGUCUUGCUAGGUAAAGAUGGUAAAUCACUCUGGCAGAGUUUCAGCUAUCCCACUGAUACCCUUUUGUCUGGUCAGGAUUUCUUGGAGGGAAUGAAGCUUGUAAGUGAUCCCAGCACUAAUAACUUGAGUUGUUAUCUUGAAAUCAAUUCUGGAGAUUUGAUUCUCUAUGCGGGCUUCCCAACUCCGCAACCUUAUUGGUCUAUGUCUAAGGAGACACGUAGAACCAUUAACAAGGUUGGUGGGGUGGUCAAGUCUGUAGCUCUGAGUUCCAAUUCGUGGAAGUCCUAUGAUAAAAAUCAAGCUCUUCUCUGGCAGUUUAUCUUCUCGGACAAUACUAAUCAGAACAACACAUGGGCUGCAGUGUUAAGCUCCCAGGGAGUGAUCUCAUUCUACAAUCUUGAGAAUGAUGGGUCGACUGUUGCAGAGCCGAAGGUGAUACCUCAAGGUUCUUGUGGCAUACCUGAGCCUUGUGGUCCAUAUUAUGUUUGUUACAGUGACCGGUGCCAGUGCCCUGCUGUUCUCAACUCCCAACCUAAUUGCAAUCCUGGGAUUGACUCUCCAUGUAGUUCAAACUCAAAUGGUUCAUUAGAACUUGUAAAUGCCGGGGAUAGUCUUGACUAUUUUGCGCUAGGGUACAUCCCAUCAUAUUCCAAGUCUGAUCUGAAUGGUUGUAAAAAUGCGUGCCUUAGUAACUGCUCUUGCCUUGCUUUGUUCUUUGAUAAUAGUGCAGGGCAAUGCUUCCUAUUUGAUCAGAUAGGAAGCUUAGAGCAACCUGGCCAGGGUUCUACAGGGUAUAUUUCAUAUAUUAAGGUUCUGACAGAUGGAAACCAAGGGCAAAAAUCAGUUGGGAAGGGAAGCAGCAGUAGCCAGAAACACCUUCCCAUCAUCAUGGUCAUUGCUGUUGUGACAGUACUACUAAUUUCUGGUAUACUUUAUUUGGGAAUCCGGUACCACAAGAAGAAAAGUGUACCAGAGACCCCCAAUUCAUCAGAAGAGGACAUGUUCCUGGAGAAUUUAUCUGGUGCACCCAUUCGGUUCAGUUACAAUGAUCUUCAAACUGCUACUAAUGACUUUUCUGUAAAACUUGGUCAGGGCGGGUUUGGCUCAGUCUACCAGGGGAUGCUUCCUGAUGGGACUCAACUAGCUGUGAAGAAGUUGGAGGGCAUUGGUCAGGGGAAGAAAGAAUUCCGAGCUGAAGUUAGCAUCAUCGGAAGCAUCCAUCAUGUCCAUUUGGUCAGGCUCAAAGGCUUUUGUGCUGAGGGAACUCAUCGGCUUCUUGCAUAUGAAUACAUGGCAAAAGGGUCUCUGGACAGAUGGAUCUUCCCGAAGGCUAGAGAAGAUCAUAUGUUGGACUGGGAAACGAGGUUCAAUAUUGCUCUGGGAAUGGCAAAAGGAUUAGCUUAUCUACAUGAGGACUGUGAUGUGAAGAUUAUCCAUUGUGAUAUAAAGCCAGAAAAUGUGCUUCUUGACGAUAAUUAUUUUGCGAAGGUCUCAGAUUUUGGUUUGGCUAAGCUGAUGACUAGGGAACAGAGCCAUGUGUUCACCACACUAAGAGGUACGAGGGGGUAUCUAGCACCGGAGUGGAUUACAAACUAUGCUAUAUCAGAGAAGAGUGAUGUAUACAGCUUUGGUAUGGUCUUGCUUGAAAUAAUUGGUGGAAGGAAGAAUUUUGAUCCAUCAGAGACUUCGGAGAAAGCUCAUUUCCCCUCUUAUGCCUUCAAGAUGAUGGAAGAAGGGAGGACUAGAGAAAUCCUUGAUUCGAAGCUGAACAUUCACAAAGAUGAUGAAAGGGUGAUCACGGCUAUUAAGGUUGCUUUGUGGUGUAUACGGGAAGACAUGUACUUGCGGCCAUCUAUGACUAAAGUGGUCCAAAUGCUUGAAGGUCUCUCUACUGUUCCUCAACCACCAACCUCUUCUCAGAUGGGGUCCCGUCUUUACUCGAAUCUUUAUAAGUCAAUCAGUGAGGAGGGUUCUUCAUCAGGACCUUCAGAUUGCAACAGCGAUGCCCAUCUCUCAGCUGUACGCCUGUCAGGUCCCAGAUAGCACAAACUAUGUACACAAAUAGAGGUGCAGCCAUCAAAACUAGGAUCCUUCGAAGAUGAAUUAUCACAUCUGCAAAGUUUUCAAAUGCAUUCCUUGCAUUGCCAUCAAUUUUGAAGAAUACUUUGUCAAGAUGGAAGUGUAUUGGAAGAACCCCAUUCUGCUAACAUGUGCUGGGAAGUCCACAACCCUUCAUUUGAUGUGUGGUGCCAAAGAGUGUCUGAAGCAAGAAAAUCACCCCAAGAAAAUGGCCUUCUAAGCCAUUCCCUUCUUCAUGUUGGGUUUUGACUGUUUAAUAUAUUCAUCAUUCCAAGAGUAAAAAAAGGAAGAGAUGUCACAUCCAAGCAAAUUGAGUAGCAAAUUAGCAAUUGAUCCAAAUAUAUUUUGGAAGC